This 151-nucleotide non-coding RNA is filed under the name uncultured Agathobacter sp. The record is from RNAcentral. Lineage: Bacteria; Bacillati; Bacillota; Clostridia; Lachnospirales; Lachnospiraceae.
UGAUUUAGAGAGUGUUAGAAUUUUGCUGUUAUUCAGCAAUUCCCGUACAGGGAUGUACGGAAAAGGUGGCACUUCGCCCGGAUGGCGAAUUGACACUGGUUGCGUUAUGAUGAGAUAAGGUAAAGUCAAAAUUCUUACAGUCUCUUAAUCA